RNAcentral lists this long non-coding RNA (207 nucleotides) under Solanum tuberosum (potato). RNAcentral describes it as "long non-coding RNA (STUB_LNC002776)". Lineage: Eukaryota; Viridiplantae; Streptophyta; Magnoliopsida; Solanales; Solanaceae. The record is from RNAcentral.
GAAAAAGGACGAAUUUACCCCCGAACUUUGAUAAAUGGUACGUCUAUGCCCUCCGUUAUACUUUGCGUCCACAUAAGCCCCUGCCGUCCAAUUUUCGGUACACACAUGCCCCUCUCACUAACGGACCCCUCGUUUUGUACACGUGUUUUAAUCCUAAUCAACUACCCGUUUGACCAUUCUUUUAACCCAUAAACCCACAACCCGCCC